Molecule: long non-coding RNA, 823 nt
Organism: Amblyraja radiata (thorny skate)
Lineage: Eukaryota; Metazoa; Chordata; Chondrichthyes; Rajiformes; Rajidae
Exons: 3
Source: RefSeq, a predicted model, not a curated record
UGUUGUGGUCUGGAAGUUUGAAUGGGCAACAGAGCCAGACACGGAGGAAUAAAGCACCGCCAGUGCCCGGAGGCUUUGUGUGUAUGACGGCCACAAAUUGUGUGUUACACACAGCACAGGGACGCGGGGAGAGCGAGCAAGCUCCUGCAUGAAGGGGAAGAAUUUGCACGGCAGCUGUCAUUUGCCAAGGAGAUUAACUUCUAAUUCCUGGAGGGUUGGUAACCCUUCCAAGGCCCUUCAGGUACAGUGUGCAGAACAGACAACACAAGCAGCAGUGUUUGAAGCAAGCAGCAAACAGGGCUGAGAUGUAAGAGACCAUCAUCAUGGAAACUUUACAGUGUUGGCAGCAGUUUGUGGAGCGUGUAAAGGAAAGGGCAUCUCUCUCUGCCGGCUGGGUUGAGCAGAGGACUCAGACAGACACAGGAAGGUUAAAGACAGACGGCCGGGGAUAAGGCUUCACUCCAGCGAUCAAGAGCGGAGUUGGCAGCGCGCCAGCCCACUGUAAGUGGAACACACUUGCGUCACUGUUCCCUCGGCAACGCCGGGCUCUGCACAGAACUCUCUCCCCCCCCCCAGUUAGCUCCUUUGCUUCAUGUUUCCAUGUGUGUGAUUUACACCAUUAACGCUGAAUGGGAUUUCCAGCUGUUCUACAGCCGGGAGAAUUUUGUCGAGUGGUAUCAGGGAAAUAGUUUGAUCCCUGAGCAAGAUGAUCGGCGCAGAUAGUUUCCUAGAGGCUGCCAGCAAAGUGAACCGCACACACUGAUCUGCCCGGGGUGGGGGUCCCUGACAAAUUAACCCCACAUUUCCCCAGUCACAACGCAGA